RNAcentral lists this unclassified non-coding RNA (244 nucleotides) under Borreliella burgdorferi (Lyme disease spirochete). RNAcentral describes it as "partial 5S-23S ribosomal RNA intergenic spacer". Lineage: Bacteria; Pseudomonadati; Spirochaetota; Spirochaetia; Spirochaetales; Borreliaceae. The record is from RNAcentral.
GAGUUCGCGGGAGAGUAGGUUAUUGCCAGGGUUUUUGUUUUUAUGCUUUUAACUUUGAUUUUAUUUUUGCGUUUUUAAAUAUUAGUGUUUUUGAAUGUGUUAUUUAAAUAACAUAAAAAAUGAAAUAUAUAUUGACAUGUAUUAAACAAAGAUAUAUAUUACUUUAUGUUGCAUAAACAAAUUGGCAAAAUAGAGAUGGAAGAUAAAAAUAUGGUCAAAGUAAUAAGAGUCUAUGGUGAAUGCC